Molecule: long non-coding RNA, 331 nt
Filed under: Coffea arabica (coffee)
Lineage: Eukaryota; Viridiplantae; Streptophyta; Magnoliopsida; Gentianales; Rubiaceae
Description: long non-coding RNA (CARA_LNC002849)
Source: RNAcentral
CUUGAAGAGGUCUAGGGGCUGGAAAAACAAAGAAGAAAGAAAGGGUUUCGGAGAGUGAGAGAUAGUAGGAGGAAACCGAGAGCUGGGGGUUUCGUCUGAGAGCUUGGGGAGGCUGCGCAAAAGAGAGAUCGAGGGAGCUGGAAAAGCUUGGGGAGGCUGCGGAAAAGGAGAUUGAGAGGGAGAAACUUCAGGGAAGCGAGGGACACCGGAGAGGGAAAAAGCUGAGGAAAAAGAAAGAGAACCGAGGAGAUUGGGAGAGCGGUGGCGGCUGAGCAAGGAGGAGCUUCAAGUUACGGGCCAGAGGUUUUCUCACCAUCUUCAUGAUUCUCCU